AUUGAACGCUGGCGGCAUGCCUUACACAUGCAAGUCGAACGGUAACAGGUCUUCGGAUGCUGACGAGUGGCGAACGGGUGAGUAAUACAUCGGAACGUGCCUAGUAGUGGGGGAUAACUACUCGAAAGAGUGGCUAAUACCGCAUGAGAUCUACGGAUGAAAGCAGGGGAUCGCAAGACCUUGUGCUACUAGAGCGGCCGAUGGCAGAUUAGGUAGUUGGUGGGAUAAAAGCUUACCAAGCCGACGAUCUGUAGCUGGUCUGAGAGGACGAUAAUACAACCUGGGACUGAGAAACGGCCCAGACUCCUACGGGAGGCAGCGGUGGGGAAUUUUGGAUAAUGGGCGCAAGCCUGAUCCAGCAAUGCCGCAUGCAGGAUGAAGGCCUUCGGGUUGUAAACUGCUUUUGUACGGAACGAAAAGCCCCGGGUUAAUACCCUGGGGUCAUGACGGUACCGUAAGAAUAAGCACCGGCUAACUACGUGCCAGCCGCCGCAGUAA
RNAcentral lists this ribosomal RNA (498 nucleotides) under uncultured bacterium. Its description in RNAcentral is "partial 16S ribosomal RNA". It matches the Rfam family "Bacterial small subunit ribosomal RNA", at positions 30 to 523 of the family's 1533-position model. The record is from RNAcentral.